RNAcentral lists this ribosomal RNA (253 nucleotides) under uncultured bacterium. Its description in RNAcentral is "partial 16S ribosomal RNA". It matches the Rfam family "Bacterial small subunit ribosomal RNA", at positions 524 to 776 of the family's 1533-position model. The record is from RNAcentral.
UACGUAGGUGGCGAGCGUUGUCCGGAUUUACUGGGCGUAAAGGGAGCGUAGGCGGACUUUUAAGUGAGAUGUGAAAUACUCGGGCUCAACUUGAGUGCUACAUUUCAAACUGGAAGUCUAGAGUGCAGGAGAGGAGAAUGGAAUUCCUAGUGUAGCGGUGAAAUGCGCAGAGAUUAGGAAGAACACCAGUGGCGAAGGCGAUUCUCUGGACUGUAACUGACGCUGAGGCUCGAAAGCGUGGGGAGCAAACAGG